Molecule: ribosomal RNA, 426 nt
Filed under: uncultured prokaryote
Description: bacterial SSU rRNA
Rfam family: Bacterial small subunit ribosomal RNA
Source: RNAcentral
UGGGGAAUUUUCCGCAAUGGGCGCAAGCCUGACGGAGCAAUACCGCGUGAGGGGGGAAGGCUUUUGGGUUGUAAACCUCUUUUCUCAGGGAAGAAGCUCUGACGGUACCUGAGGAAUCAGCAUCGGCUAACUCCGUGCCAGCAGCCGCGGUAAGACGGAGGGCGCUAGCGUUGUUCGGAAUCACUGGGCGUAAAGGGCGCGUAGGCGGCUGUCUAAGUCGAGGGUGAAAGCCCGGGGCUCAACCUCGGAACGGCCUUCGAGACUGGGCAGCUGGAGACCGGAAGAGGAGGGUGGAAUACCCAGUGUAGAGGUGAAAUUCGUAGAUAUUGGGUGGAACACCAGUGGCGAAAGCGGCUCUCUGGUCCGGUUCUGACGCUGAGGCGCGAAAGCGUGGGGAGCAAACAGGAUUAGAUACCCCUGUAGUAC